GAGGCAGCAGUAGGGAAUCUUCCGCAAUGGGCGAAAGCCUGACGGAGCAACGCCGCGUGAGUGAAGAAGGUCUUCGGAUCGUAAAACUCUGUUAUUAGGGAAGAACAAAUGUGUAAGUAACUAUGCACGUCUUGACGGUACCUAAUCAGAAAGCCACGGCUAACUACGUGCCAGCAGCCGCGGUAAUACGUAGGUGGCAAGCGUUAUCCGGAAUUAUUGGGCGUAAAGCGCGCGUAGGCGGUUUUUUAAGUCUGAUGUGAAAGCCCACGGCUCAACCGUGGAGGGUCAUUGGAAACUGGAAAACUUGAGUGCAGAAGAGGAAAGUGGAAUUCCAUGUGUAGCGGUGAAAUGCGCAGAGAUAUGGAGGAAC
Molecule: ribosomal RNA, 370 nt
Filed under: Staphylococcus capitis
Lineage: Bacteria; Bacillati; Bacillota; Bacilli; Caryophanales; Staphylococcaceae
Description: bacterial SSU rRNA
Rfam family: Bacterial small subunit ribosomal RNA
Source: RNAcentral